AAAAAAAUACUUGACUUUAGUUGGUACUGGUGUAUUAUCUGUUCCCUAAUAUGUGACAAAAAGUUGUGAGAUAUAUUGAUGACACAGUUUACACACCAAGCAUCUGCAAAAAGACUUAACACUGUAAAAUAUCUGACUCAUCUUAAACUGUUUUCACCCAUGAAGCAGGUCAGAGACAUUUUUCACAGUUGUCCUUUUUGCAGAUGUGUAGAGAAGGCAGCACAUAAACCCACUCAGCAGCAGCAAAUGCACUGCAUUUCUGUAAACCAGGAUAACAUAUGGCUAUAAUGCCCGAUUUAAAUGACCUGAUAUAUACAUUUUCACAUGCACCUCUACUGGCUAAGAGUCCUAGAAAAGUUGCAGUGUUGCAGUGCAUGCUUGAACAUGGCUUGGACACAGAUGUGAUCUAAUGAAUGUGAAUGAAACUGUUUCCCCCUGGUUACACAAAUCUGGUCUAAAAAGUCCAACGUCAAUCAAACUACAAAUCAUGUAGCAUGUUACUAUAAAUGUAAAAAAUCAAGUGCAGCUCCAACUAUGGGAAAAUACAAAACAUCAAAAUAAGUAAACUGCACAAAAAGAACAAGAACACAAAAAACAAUGAAAAUGAAAACUAAACAAAAAAACAACAACUAAUGCUUACAUAAAACUUUAAUACUAAGCUGAAACCUAUAAAGAGCAUCAGCAGGGGUCAGCAGUCACAAAAAUACUGCUCUUUAAAGCAACAUUGAUCAGUUUUAUAACAAAGAACUGGAAAAAAAACUGUGCAAAUGUACACCCAACUCAGCCGCUCCCUUUGUAACAGAUUUCAGCCCAUUGUUUACCUGUUCCAUCCACAUAUUUAAUUUCUGGGGCAUUUUGGUAAAUGGCCUUUAUUUGUAUAGCGCUUUACCAUUCCUAAGGACCCCAAAGCGCUUUACACAUCCAGUCAUCCACCCAUUCACACACUGGUGAUGGCAAGCUACAUUGUAGCCACAGCCACCCUGGGGCGCACUGACAGAGGUGAGGCUGCCAGACACUGGCGCCACCGGGCCCUCUGACCACCACCAGUAGGCAAUGAGUGAAGUGUCUUGCCCAAGGACACAACGACCGGGACUGUCCGAGCCGGGGCUCAAACCAGCAACCUUCCGAUUACAAGGCCCAACUCCUGAGCCACAAUCGCUUUCAUCGCUUUCAUGUUGCCAUUUCUGGAAACAGAAGUUAGCUGUGUUCAGU
Astatotilapia calliptera (eastern happy) is the source of this 1212-nucleotide long non-coding RNA. The record is from Ensembl. Lineage: Eukaryota; Metazoa; Chordata; Actinopteri; Cichliformes; Cichlidae.